AAGUCGUAACAAGGUUUCCGUAGGUGAACCUGCGGAAGGAUCAUUAACUUAAUUUAUGAAUGUGUAUUUUCUGUUUGCAUGCAAAUGUAGAUGGUUGAUAUGCGUUUAUUUAUCAAAACCAAAAUUUACAAUCCGUGAAACUAAAAAACAAAACACGAACGUGGAGUGCAGCCUCGAUAGCAAUAUCGCCUGUGCUUCAUUUGAGUACCAAUUCCACCAAACAAUUUUAACUUUAUUAGCCCCAUUACCGUAGUGAAUGUUUUCGAAUAUUCAUACUAAAACAACAAACCAAGAGGAGAAUGAAAAUCAAGUAUAUAUACGUGUUGAUACUUUGUUUGAUCGCAUGACAAUAUAUAACUGGCUUUUGUUUUCUUUAUUCUAUAAAUUAAUAGAGAAAUACAACUCUUAACAAUGGAUAUCUUGGCUCUC
Molecule: unclassified non-coding RNA, 429 nt
Filed under: fungal sp.
Lineage: Eukaryota; Fungi
Description: partial internal transcribed spacer region
Rfam family: Eukaryotic small subunit ribosomal RNA (bases 1-46)
Source: RNAcentral